GACGAACGCUGGCGGCGUGCUUAACACAUGCAAGUCGAACGGAAAGGCCCUGCUUUUGUGGGGUGCUCGAGUGGCGAACGGGUGAGUAACACGUGAGUAACCUGCCCUUGACUUUGGGAUAACUUCAGGAAACUGGGGCUAAUACCGGAUAGGAGCUCCUGCUGCAUGGUGGGGGUUGGAAAGUUUCGGCGGUUGGGGAUGGACUCGCGGCUUAUCAGCUUGUUGGUGGGGUAGUGGCUUACCAAGGCUUUGACGGGUAGCCGGCCUGAGAGGGUGACCGGCCACAGUGGGACUGAGAUACGGCCCAGACUCCUACGGAAGGCAGCAGUGGGGAAUAUUGCACAAUGGGCGGAAGCCUGAUGCAGCAACGCCGCGUGCGGGAUGACGGCCUUCGGGUUGUAAACCGCUUUCGCCUGUGACGAAGCGUGAGUGACAGUAAUGGGUAAAGAAGCACCGGCUAACUACGUG
RNAcentral lists this ribosomal RNA (468 nucleotides) under uncultured bacterium. RNAcentral's name for it is "partial 16S ribosomal RNA". It matches the Rfam family "Bacterial small subunit ribosomal RNA", at positions 28 to 507 of the family's 1533-position model. The record is from RNAcentral.